AAAAUCUGAAAAUCAUGAUUUGAGUCUUUGACUAUUUCAAUUUGAGUCUAAUUAUCAAUAUAUAUUUGGGCAAUUGGCCAAUUGAAUUCAUUGAUACAAGCAACUAAGCAAGGAGACAAUAACUGCAAUUUGAGUCUUUGACUAUUUCAAUCUAAUUAGUCUGAUUAUCAUUAUAUAUAUGGGCAAUUGACCAAUUGAAUUCAUUGAUACAAUCAACUAACUAGCAAGGAGCCAAUAACAGAUUGAAUUGAUCUGUUAGUCUCCAUCAAUGGAUAAAUUUGUCACCAAAGUUAAGCGUACAACAGUGGAGUCAUCUUCACCCAUGACAUCAAAGAAAGGUCGUGUGGAGAUCGAUUAUGAAAAUCUUCCUACAGACCCGGGGUUACGAUGUUCAAUAUGGGAUUAUGGCCCUAAUGAUAUAGAUUGCGUUAGGCGUUCAUACUUACAGAAGGGUCCUUGUCAACCCAUUUGCCAUGAAUUUCCACAAACCCUUAUGAUGGAUGAAUUAAGAAGGUUCAAUAAAGAUUGGUUUGAACAAUAUUCUGAUUGGUUGGAGUACAGUGUAGCAAAGGAUGCAGCAUAUUGCCUCUAUUGUUAUCUUUUCAAACCCAAAAGCAAUCAAGGUGGUGGAGAUGUAUUUG
Molecule: long non-coding RNA, 641 nt
Organism: Tripterygium wilfordii
Lineage: Eukaryota; Viridiplantae; Streptophyta; Magnoliopsida; Celastrales; Celastraceae
Exons: 4
Source: RefSeq, a predicted model, not a curated record